AAAGCAGUUGAAUAUGCUGUCAAGAAACCCUAUGGACAGUAUGGGGUCAUGAAGAUUCAAAUAUGAGGUUAAAGUGAAAUAAAACAUAUACAAUAUUAUGGUCAUUUUGAGAGGUAGCUCAGUGUGGUGGAUGGAAGAUGACCUUGAAGUAAGGAAAACCUGGGUUCAUCCUCCUGCCUCACCUCUUUACUAGUUGUGUGACCCUAGUGCCCAUGAAUGUCACAGCUGUCAAACGUC
This 237-nucleotide long non-coding RNA is filed under the name Monodelphis domestica (gray short-tailed opossum). RNAcentral's name for it is "lncRNA (ENSMODG00000036678.1)". The record is from RNAcentral. Lineage: Eukaryota; Metazoa; Chordata; Mammalia; Didelphimorphia; Didelphidae.